GAGGAGGUUUGGGCAGAUGAUAGUACAGUAAAACCUAAAAACAAGUAGUGGGUAUUGUUUCCAGCCGGGCUCUGAUUGGAACCACCUAGAAACCACACCCCCGAAUAGCUUUCCAGCAGCUGAGAAUUCACGGAAGAGAAAAGAGAUGGGAUCAUGCCCAAUGCCACCAGCACAAAGGAUCCAUCUGCCUCCAGAUUAAAAUAAAAAUAGUGAUAAGGUGAACUAGAAGGACAAACAAGCAUAGUUUGGCAAAGUAGAGAAGCAACGUGGCCGAGUGGAUAAAGCACGGGCCAGGGAGAAGGACCUGGGUUCUAGUGCCAGCUCCACCAUUUGUCUGCUGUGUG
This 344-nucleotide long non-coding RNA is filed under the name Ornithorhynchus anatinus (platypus). Its description in RNAcentral is "lncRNA (ENSOANG00000049993.1)". Lineage: Eukaryota; Metazoa; Chordata; Mammalia; Monotremata; Ornithorhynchidae. The record is from RNAcentral.